RNAcentral lists this ribosomal RNA (405 nucleotides) under uncultured bacterium. RNAcentral's name for it is "bacterial SSU rRNA". It matches the Rfam family "Bacterial small subunit ribosomal RNA", at positions 370 to 772 of the family's 1533-position model. The record is from RNAcentral.
AAUGGGCGAGAGCCUGAACCAGCCAAGUCGCGUGAAGGAAGACUGCCUUAUGGGUUGUAAACUUCUUUUAUAGGGGAAUAAAAGAGAUUACGUGUAGUCUAUUGCACGUACCCUAUGAAUAAGCAUCGGCUAACUCCGUGCCAGCAGCCGCGGUAAUACGGAGGAUGCGAGCGUUAUCCGGAUUUAUUGGGUUUAAAGGGUGCGCAGGCGGGGUUUUAAGUCAGCGGUGAAAUAUUCAGGCUUAACCUGAAGACUGCCGUUGAAACUGGGACUCUUGAGUAUAGAUGAAGUAGGCGGAAUUCGUUGUGUAGCGGUGACAUGCAUAGAUAUAACGAGGAACUCCAAUUGCGUAGGCAGCUUACUAAACUAUAACUGACGCUCAUGCACGAAAGCGUGGGGAUCAAA